UACGUAGGGUGCGAGCGUUGUCCGGAAUUAUUGGGCGUAAAGAGCUUGUAGGCGGUUUGUCGCGUCUGCUGUGAAAAUCCGGGGCUCAACCCCGGACUUGCAGUGGGUACGGGCAGACUAGAGUGUGGUAGGGGAGACUGGAAUUCCUGGUGUAGCGGUGGAAUGCGCAGAUAUCAGGAGGAACACCGGUGGCGAAGGCGGGAUCCUGGGCCAGUACUGACGCUGAGGAGCGAAAGCGUGGGGAGCAAACAGG
RNAcentral lists this ribosomal RNA (253 nucleotides) under uncultured bacterium. Its description in RNAcentral is "partial 16S ribosomal RNA". It matches the Rfam family "Bacterial small subunit ribosomal RNA", at positions 524 to 776 of the family's 1533-position model. The record is from RNAcentral.